GCUCCUUUGGCGCAACUGGCAGACGCGGCAGAUUUAGGUUCUGUAAGUUAAGGGUUCGAGUCCCUUAGGGAGCA
This 74-nucleotide transfer RNA is filed under the name Caudoviricetes sp. RNAcentral describes it as "tRNA-Leu". It matches the Rfam family "tRNA". Rfam says of the family: Transfer RNA (tRNA) molecules are approximately 80 nucleotides in length. Their secondary structure includes four short double-helical elements and three loops (D, anti-codon, and T loops). Lineage: Duplodnaviria; Heunggongvirae; Uroviricota; Caudoviricetes. The record is from RNAcentral. RNAcentral also lists the same sequence under 1 other name.